CAGGGAUUUAUAAAGACAAAAACAAAUGCUAUUCUGGGGCAAAAUGCUAAAGAGUGGUUCCUAUAAAAACCAGUAGCACAUAUCUCAAUAUUUGGCACUUUACUUGAAAAUGGUACAUGUUUUGCCUUGGUAAAUCCCAUCUUUAUUGUCUAAUGAGAUUGUGAGACGAAACUUUAUAUAUGUAUUUUGAGAACUUUGUGAUUUGUUCUGUUUCAAUAACCAAGCAGUACAUACAGUGUUAAUUUAAAAUGCAUAUACAUUAUUGAUAAGAGCAUAAAUAAAUAUUUGCACAUAAAAGGGGUACACCCUUUUAUUUAAC
Non-coding RNA from Pelobates cultripes (western spadefoot toad), 319 nucleotides. Lineage: Eukaryota; Metazoa; Chordata; Amphibia; Anura; Pelobatidae. The record is from the annotation of a GenBank genome assembly.